UUCAGAUCGGUGAUUUACAAGUUUUGAUGAGAAACGUGAGGGAAUGGAAGGGGAGAGAAAGUUUGGGAUCACGCCGUUGUUGUUUUUUCCAGGAGAGCAAGAAGGUCAGGUGGAUCCUGAGAAAUGCAGUCAGACUCCAGAGCUUGACAAGUCCUCAGUGUGCAGGAAAAUCUAAGGGAAAUGCCCACAUUAACUCAUAUUGAUGAUUACCCCAGCAGAGUCUGGACUCUCCCUCGAUUCAGUGAACACACUGGUAUGUAGUAGAGGCCAGACAGGCAUCCUGAAGCCAUAUCCUCCAACCCCACCUGUGGUUGCCUGUGAAGGGCAAUGCGCCUUGAAUGCUCUCCUCAGUGCACAUGAGGACCUGAUUCUCUAUUCGGACCCACGUGGGUUUCUCCUUGCUCCUUCCCUAAGCUUCAAGUCUAUAAAUGUUCCCUGUUCUCAAAGUGC
This 450-nucleotide long non-coding RNA is filed under the name Gallus gallus (chicken). Its description in RNAcentral is "lncRNA (ENSGALG00010017919.1)". The record is from RNAcentral. Lineage: Eukaryota; Metazoa; Chordata; Aves; Galliformes; Phasianidae.